This 1510-nucleotide long non-coding RNA is filed under the name Malus domestica (apple). RNAcentral describes it as "long non-coding RNA (MDOM_LNC014288)". The record is from RNAcentral. Lineage: Eukaryota; Viridiplantae; Streptophyta; Magnoliopsida; Rosales; Rosaceae.
UUUGGUCAAAAUACUUUGUUUUCAAAGAUUAAAUGAUUUCUACACCAUAUAUUUGGCACCUUUAUUUCUCUUUAAAUGCACUAUAAAUUCAAAUGAUCUUGGAAAAAGAUAUCCUAAAAUACAAAGAUUUGUAUCAUUUGAAAUUUUAUCUCAUUCCAUCAAAUUAACCAAAGUAUUAAAGAUUUAUUGUAAAUUUGCUCAAAUCCGCCUAGGCACUAAGCCCCAUCUCGCCGCCCGAUUAGCGCCUAGCAUCUUUUAGAACCAUGUUUCAAACAGCCAACAACAGUCUCAACUCAAGGGUUAGGGUUCUGUAGUACAAAUUACGUACAAAUUCCGAACUUGCCCCACUCUUUCCUUCCCUCCCUAUCGCUAAAGUACAAGGUGAAGUUGUUGCUUCUUCUUCUUCUUCUUAUUCUCCAUUCUCUUAUUCACCAUAGCUACAAAGGUCAAGGUCGAAUCAGUGAAUUGGUAUAUUAUCACACAACCUCACUCCAAAAUGGUUGCUUCCCACCCUCAACAAGAUGAGGUAUUGCUGAAGGCUAGGCAAAGGUAUUGCUUACUAAUUUUCUAAGUUUUUUACAUUACAUGUUUAUAUCUUAUGAUGGGUUUGUGGAGAAGGAGGCAGAUGAGGAUGAUAAGGAGGAUGAUGAUGAGGAGGUUAAUGAUGAGGUGGAGGAAAAUGAGAAGGAUGAUGAGCAUGAUAAGGAGGAUGAGCUUAGUUAAUUAAAUAUUAGACUAAAUAAAUUAGUUAAUUAACAAUUUAGGAUGCAUUUCCCUUUUUAAUGUUACAUGAACAUAAGUGAUGAGGAGGAUGAUGAGGAGGUGGAGGAUGAGAAGGAUGACGAUGGGGAAAGUGAUGAGGAUGAUGAGGACGAGGAUGAUGAUGAUGAUGAUGAUGAGCUUAGUUAAUUAAAUAUUAGACUAAAUAUAUUAGUUAAUUAACAAUUCAGGAUGCAUUUCCCUUUUCUAAUGUUAAAUGAAUAUAAGUGAUGAGGAGGUGGAGAAGGAGGAUGACGAUAGGGAAGGUGAUAAGGAUGAUAAGGAUGAGGAUGAGGAUAAUGAGGAGAAUGAGAAUGAUGAGUAGAAGUAGGAAGGUGAAAAGGAUGAGAGAGAAAGAGAAAACAUGGGGAUUUAUGCGAUUGGUGGUCCAAAUGGUUAUCUAGCCUAGAGGCAAGAGUUUGAGUUUGGUUUGGGAUCUUGCAUGUUUAUGGGUACCCUGUGUAAGCUUAAUCUUGUUUGUGCAGGUCAAGCAAGAUCCACAAUAUGUUGAGGUCCUUGGUCUUCAUCAUUUGGAAGAUGCAUAGUUGAUGUUGUUGUUGAAAUGAUCAAUAGGGGUGCUUAUUUUGAGUUGUUGGUUCAAACCACAAGGACAUGGAGAAUUCCCUUCUCACUCUCUUGUGUCACAUGUCCGCCACUUUGUGCACCCUACGGAGAUAAAGCACUUUUACUAAUGAAGCAGAACAUAACACAAAAAGAUGUUAAGGUUAAAUCCUAUAUAUUUAAUUAGCAA